GCUCCGGUGGCCUAAUUGGUUAGGUGUUCGCUUCAGAUGCGGGAGUUCGCGCGUUCGAAUCGUGACGGAGUCA
This is a non-coding RNA of Potamilus streckersoni, 73 nucleotides long. Lineage: Eukaryota; Metazoa; Mollusca; Bivalvia; Unionida; Unionidae. The record is from the annotation of a GenBank genome assembly.